UUUGCCCCAUAACACCCAUAUUUCUUUUCAUAUAAGACUUCAAUAGCUCAUAAAAGGUCAUUUACCAAAAUUUAAGUAGAUUCUAGAUUUCUUUUCUUCCGAUUUGAGACCCAAAUAAUACCAAUGCAAAUAUAAGGUAAAAGUCCGAGUCAACCUUUUUCCGCCAUUUUAAAAAAAUUAAAUAUCUCGAAAAGGAGCUCCAUAACCUAUCAAUAUUUUUAGCUUAUUUUGUUCCUUAACUAAUGCUCUUCUGACUUAUAGUAUGAAUUUUAAAAUCUAGAUUUUUUUUAAUUUCACCUAAGUACAUCCUUAAUUACAAAGUUGAUGAGCAUUAUAAACAAAAUAUUCCAAACAGUUAUGCUUAAUCAGGUCAAUGUCACUUAUUCAUGUAGGUAAAUAACCCUUAGUGUUUCAAAAGAGUUAUGCUUAAUCAGGUCAAUGUCACUUAUUCAUGUAGGUAAAUAACCCUUAGUGUUUCAAAAGAGUUAUGCUUAAUCAGGUCAAUGUCACUUAUUCAUGUAGGUAAAUAACCCUUAGUGUUUCAAAAGAGUUAUGCUUAAUCAGGUCAAUGUCACUUAUUCAUGUAGGUAAAUAACCCUUAGUGUUUCAAAAGAGUUAUGCUUAAUCAGGUCAAUGUCACUUAUUCAUGUAGGUAAAUAACCCUUAGUGUUUCAAAAGAGUUAUGCUUAAUCAGGUCAAUGUCACUUAUUCAUGUAGGUAAAUAACCCUUAGUGUUUCAAAAGAGUUAUGCUUAAUCAUGUCUAUGUCACUUAUUCAUGUAGGUAAAUAACCCUUAGUGUUUCAAAAGAGUUAUGCUUAAUCAUGUCUAUGUCACUUAUUCAUGUAGGUAAAUAACCCUUAGUGUUUCAAAAGAGUUAUGACACUGAAAACAACAUAAUUACAACAUUACCCCGAAAAACGAACCAGGAAACCUUAUUGACUUUGUUCAUCUAUUCAAAUUUAAGUUUGUUUUGAUAAGAACUAUCGGUAUCCUCUCUACAUUGAACACAUUAAAAAGUAAACAUGAUGCAGACGUUGUAGACCCUAGGACUAUAUAAACUUAUACGAUGUAAACCCUAGGACUGUAUAAACUUAUACGGUGUAGACCCUAGGACUGUAUAAACUUAUACGGUGUAGAGCCUAGGACUAUAUAAACGUAUACGGUGUAGAGACUAGGAUUAUAUAAACGUAUACGGUGUAGACCCUAGGACUAUAUAAACUUUAUACAAAUAGUAACUUGACGAAUCACCUUUCAAUCACGU
Mytilus californianus (California mussel) is the source of this 1262-nucleotide long non-coding RNA. RefSeq lists it as uncharacterized. The transcript has 3 exons. NCBI's taxonomy places the organism in Eukaryota, Metazoa, Mollusca, Bivalvia, Mytilida, Mytilidae. The record is from RefSeq and is a predicted model, not a curated record.